Molecule: ribosomal RNA, 497 nt
Filed under: uncultured bacterium
Lineage: Bacteria
Description: partial 16S ribosomal RNA
Rfam family: Bacterial small subunit ribosomal RNA
Source: RNAcentral
GAUGAACGCUGGCGGCGUGCCUAAUACAUGCAAGUCGAGCGAACGGACGAGAAGCUUGCUUCUCUGAUGUUAGCGGCGGACGGGUGAGUAACACGUGGAUAACCUACCUAUAAGACUGGGAUAACUUCGGGAAACCGGAGCUAAUACCGGAUGAUAUUUUGAACUGCAUGGUUCAAAAGUGAAAGACGGUCUUGCUGUCACUUAUAGAUGGAUCCGCGCUGCAUUAGCUAGUUGGUAAGGUAACGGCUUACCAAGGCAACGAUGCAUAGCCGACCUGAGAGGGUGAUCGGCCACACUGGAACUGAGACACGGUCCAGACUCCUACGGGAGGCAGCAGUAGGGAAUCUUCCGCAAUGGGCGAAAGCCUGACGGAGCAACGCCGCGUGAGUGAUGAAGGUCUUCGGAUCGUAAAACUCUGUUAUUAGGGAAGAACAUAUGUGUAAGUAACUGUGCACAUCUUGACGGUACCUAAUCAGAAAGCCACGGCUAACUACGUG